RNAcentral lists this transfer RNA (68 nucleotides) under Chauliognathus opacus. RNAcentral describes it as "tRNA-Val". Lineage: Eukaryota; Metazoa; Arthropoda; Insecta; Coleoptera; Cantharidae. The record is from RNAcentral.
CAAAUUAUAGCUUAAGAAAAGUUUUUUAUUUACAUUAAAAAGUUUGUUGUUCAUACAAUGUAAUUUGA